Molecule: ribosomal RNA, 277 nt
Filed under: uncultured prokaryote
Description: partial 16S ribosomal RNA
Rfam family: Bacterial small subunit ribosomal RNA
Source: RNAcentral
UACGUAGGUGGCAAGCGUUGUCCGGAUUUACUGGGCGUAAAGGAUGUGUAGGUGGAAACUUAAGUGGGAUGUGAAAUCCCCGGGCUCAACCCGGGAACUGCAUUCCAAACUGGGUUACUUGAGUGCAGGAGAGGAAAGCGGAAUUCCUAGUGUAGCGGUGAAAUGCGUAGAUAUUAGGAGGAACACCAGUGGCGAAGGCGGCUUUCUGGACUGUAACUGACACUGAGGCAUGAAAGCGUGGGGAGCAAACAGGAUUAGAUACCCUGGUAGUCCCUGA